AGUAAGCAUUUAGCUUCCGUGGGAAAUUAUUGGAUCCUCACCGGAGUAGGCUGCACUUUGCAACGAUUGAGGCUCUAAUGUGUACUCGAUUUUGGAUUAAGGAUGUCAUAUGCAAAGGUAACUUGUUGCUUUAAAAAUUUUAAAUGUUUUGGAAUUUAUUAAAGGACUAAACCCUAAAAAUUAUGCAUUGCCGACUUGGGAUAUGAAAAUGAAGCUACUGCUGCUGUUCAAGGCUUGGAGAGUUAUUAAUCAGCCCUAACAAUGGACGAUGAAAGUUGGGAAGAGUUUGAAAAAGGAG
Molecule: long non-coding RNA, 298 nt
Filed under: Linum usitatissimum (flax)
Lineage: Eukaryota; Viridiplantae; Streptophyta; Magnoliopsida; Malpighiales; Linaceae
Description: long non-coding RNA (LUSI_LNC003292)
Source: RNAcentral